GCUCUGAUAGGUUAGUUUAAUACACUGCUCUGAUAGGAUAGUUUAAUACACUGCUCUGAUAGGAUAGUCUGAUAGGUUAGUUUAAUACACUGCUCUGAUAGGUUAGUUUAAUACUCUGCUCUGAUAGGUUAGUUUAAUACACUGCUCUGAUAGGUUAGUUUUAUACACUGCUCUGAUAGGUUAGUUUUAUACACUGCUCUGAUAGGAUAGUUUAAUACACUGCUCUGAUAGGAUAGUUUUAUACACUGCUCUGAUAGGUUAGUUUAAUACACUGCUCUGAUAGGGUAGUUUAAUGCUCUGAUAGGUUAGUUUUAUACACUGCUCUGAUAGGAUAGUCUGAUAGGUUAGUUUAAUACACUGCUCUGAUAGGAUAGUUUUAUACACUGCUCUGAUAGGUUAGUUUAAUACACUGCUCUGAUAGGGUAGUUUAAUGCUCUGAUAGGUUAGUUUAAUACACUGCUCUGAUAGGUUAGUUUUAUACACUGCUCUGAUAGGUUAGUUUUAUACACUGCUCUGAUAGGAUAGUUUAAUACACUGCUCUGAUAGGUUAGUUUAAUACACUGCUCUGAUAGGUUAGUUUUAUACACUGCUCUGAUAGGUUAGUUUUAUACACUGCUCUGAUAGGAUAGUUUAAUACACUGCUCUGAUAGGUUAGUUUAAUACACUGCUCUGAUAGGUUAGUUUAAUACACUGCUCUGAUAGGGUAGUUUAAUACACUGCUCUGAAGACUGUUGAUGCCAUUGGAGAUCCACAAACUGACUGUGGAAUGUUUUGGUUCCUGAUAUAUGUAGGGGUCAAAUCUGAAGCCCUAUUCUCUAUGUAGUGCACUAAGGGGAUAGUAGGGGUCAAAUCUGAA
Molecule: long non-coding RNA, 856 nt
Organism: Oncorhynchus tshawytscha (Chinook salmon)
Lineage: Eukaryota; Metazoa; Chordata; Actinopteri; Salmoniformes; Salmonidae
Source: Ensembl